RNAcentral lists this long non-coding RNA (7033 nucleotides) under Malus domestica (apple). RNAcentral describes it as "long non-coding RNA (MDOM_LNC001307)". The record is from RNAcentral. Lineage: Eukaryota; Viridiplantae; Streptophyta; Magnoliopsida; Rosales; Rosaceae.
GGCCUGACAGGUUCCAGAUGUGCUUCAAGGGAAUGUGUUUUUGGCUGGGAAUUGAGCAAGGUAAGGAAAUAUCUGUUUAUGACACUUUUGAUGACCCAGAAGGCAGGAGAGUGAUCAUUUCUUUCGAUACAAGUCGCGAGGUAUUUCAUGGUAUACCCGAACCAUCUGAGCUCCAACGAUUACCCCUGGGGCGUGACCUUGAUUUGAAGCUUAUUGUGUGGAAUGAAUCACUUUCUUAUGGUUCACAAUGAUGGACGCGUAGUUUGCUUUAAUCUUUGUACGAAAAAGCUUACAUAUAUUCCCACUGAAACAUGAGGUGAGUUUGUUGGUUGUGUGAAUAGCAUAGUUUCGGUCAUGGGACGCAACCACAAGCCUGAGAGCAUAGAGAAUAAUUGCUCAGACAGAUGAAGACUCGAUGGUGGCGGUAGAAGGGAAGAGGGAAAGCUGCAGGAGGCGGUACUCAUAUUCCGUUUGGGCCAUUCCACUGGCUGAUGUUUCAAGGGCCUCUGGGCAGAGUUUGGUGGGCCGGAGAUUAGCCUCACAUCCCCAUAUUGGGAUCCACCCAUAUUAUGAGUUGCGAGGACGCUCUUAACAAGUUUAGAUCUCCCUUACGGAUGAUUUCAUUGCUAAAGUUGUUCAGGUGGUUACUAGGAAUUACUAUCACCAAUGUGUUUCCUUGUUGAUGGAUCAAGGGGUAUAUAUUUUCCCGAUCGCUUGCUAAUUGCUAUUCAUUUUCUUCAUGUUUUCUUCUGUUUUGUUUCCUUUUCCUCUUUCUCAUUUUGGUCUCUUAAGCUGGGAUAGACUCACUAAUUAUCAAAUUUUAUGUUCUUAGUUAUUCCAAAGUGCCAAAACUACAUUUCGGUUUCUACAACAGUAAGUUGUUGUUUAUGUUAACCUUUGAGCUGGUGUUUUUUUGUUUUCACGAAAGCUUCUUUCUUAAUUUCUUCUUGAUGUUUACGGGAAUGUUCAUAUGUAAUCUGUCUGUCUGCAAUAUUUGAUGGAUGCAGGUUCAAUGAAACAUAAUUAUAUAAGAUCCUGCCAAAAUUAGAUCAACUUCAACUUUAUCCAUGCCUUGCAAAUUGAGCUUCAGAACACGAGUCGGAUUGCAAAUGAUGGCAAAAUGUUUGAAAGUGGAGAAAAUUUCGGAGAUUUUCUAUUGAAAGAUCCAUCAUUUCUUAGUCUUGCGGAGGAGAUUUUUUAUCUUAACAUGAACAGCUCUACAAUCUAUUCAACUCUCAUAGUCUCACUAUCUCCAAAUGGUAAAGGCCAAGAGACUCAGGUGUCCGGCUAAAUGUUACCUGAACAAGUAGAUGAUGAAUAAUCAAGAGACAAAGAGAGGCGCGUAAGAGGAUCUUCGUCCAUUGGGUCGGAUAUCUGAUCUCCUCUAUCACAGACUGCCGGACGUUGUGGCUUCCAAUGAUGAAUAGAUAAAGAAAGACACGUACGAAGAUCUUCGUCCAUUGGGUCAGAUAUCUGAUCUCCUCUGUCGUGACCGCCGAACCCUGUGGCUUCCAAUGAUGAGACUGAGAAAGGCGCGUAAGAAAAUCUUCCUCCAUUGGGUCGGCUAUCUGAUCUCCUCUGUCAUUGACUGCCGAACCCUGUGGCUGGAAGAGUACUGAGAGAUUCUCAGAACGAGUUUGAGGCUGAAUAUGAUGGCCUGCAGGAAAAGUAUUAGAAGACAAGGAAAAAUGUGAACGCGCAAGGCUGAGAGGACCAUGAUCAUGCACUGCUAUAGUACUACCGAUGUACUUACUGAGAUCAUAAUCAUAAGAUGGCUCAGAAUUAUCAGAUGACUUCUCAUAGAACCGAGCUGGAUGUUGGUCAAAAACAUAACUAGCUUGGUCCAAAUCAUGCGUAUUUUCCUUCAUAGGUUUGUUCCACACUAGAUUAACCAUUGUUCUAAUUGAUGGCCUAAAACAAGAAUUUACUGAAAGUUGAACUUCAACUUUAUCCCCACUUUGCAAUUUCAGCUUAUCGUUCGAUAGUUGUCCUUGCCAAAGUAUAGGCGUAUUCCCAUAUAUGCUGCAUAAGUAAGCCUGCAACUUUGUACACUUGGUAUUAUUUAUAACAGUAAUGCCAAAUUUACCUCCAAGUACAUGUUUUAUCAAGAAGCACAGAGUCAACCCUUCAAAAGUACAACCAUCAUUCGGGGGAAUAUCAAAACUGACUGUACUGCUCUGGUUAACAAACUCAAACCAAUCAGGAACAAAAUUCCCAGAGAGUAAAACGCCACCAAAUCCGCACAGAGUCCAUCCCUACAUAUACAAUGCAAGUGUCAUACACACAUACAUACAUACACAUGUAAACGUGCGUUUGUGUGUGCAUGUGCACGAUAGGAAGGCAAUGAGAGAGAGAGAGUGUGAGGUACCUGUAGGAUGUUCUUCACAAAAUCAGUUGUGAGAUUGGUGCAAUCCCUCAUAUCAAUCAAUGUCAUGAAGUUUAAUGACUUAUCCAAGCCUGGAAUCUCAGUGAGUUUGUGCGAAUCUCUUACACUCAACUCUGUCAUCUUUGACAUUUCCGAAAAAUCGGGCAUUGUUUCCAAUGCAUGGCAAUUAUCGGCAUACAGAAAAUUCAAAUUUGUUGGUAAAUCAGGGAUUGUACGAAGGUUAAAGCAGUUAUUUAAACUCAAUGUUUCAAGCUUUGUAAGACCACUUAGGCUGGGUAGGGUAUGAAAAUCAUUCCCUUGAAGAUCCAAAACUUGUAAAGAAAUUAGACUCCCAAGAUCCUGAGGGAUUGCAUCAUGUUCUAAUUCCGCACCAUCUAGGGAUAAAAGAAUGAGAUUCUUCAAUCUAACUGUGGAAGAUGGUAUUUGUGAUAUGGCUGUAUUAUCUGCUUCAAGUAUUCUCAAUGAUAUCAUCUCCCCUAAAUCCUCAUGCACUUCUCUGAAUUCUAAACAGCUAUUAAGAAGAAGAGUCUCAACAGAUUUCAACUUAUAGAAAUCCCUUGGAAGAGAACUAAGCUUAACGCAUUCGCUAAGGUUCACCAAAGAAAGUUUUUGAAGUUGACCAAUGGAGGGGUGAAUCUUGGACAAACUCCUACAAUUUUCCAGUAUCAACUCUUCAAGAUUUGGGACUUGUGAAAGGUCCGGUGAUUUAAUUAAAAAUAGGGAAUGACUGAGAUUCAGGAUUUUCAACCUCUCUAGCAACUGUUACAGAAAACCAAAGGAAAAUUGAAAUUAAUAUCCAAAAGGAAGAUGUCAUAAAAAAAAAAAGGAAAUCCAAAAACAAAUAGAAACAGAACAUCAUCAUGUGUAAUUGAUCGUACCUUAUAACCCUCCCAAACUUGUACCAGUUUGCUAUACUUCAUAUCUAAAAUAACUAGUCUUGGUUGAUCAAAAAAGUCAUAUGCUAUGGACUCUAAAGGGCAUCCUUCCCAACACAACCAUAUUAACUCUUUGGGAAGACGUUUGUAUUCUCCCUCGAGCUGAACAUAUUUGAGAUGAAGGAAUUUCAGUUUCUUCAUAUUGGCAAAUGCUUCUGUACUGAAACUAGGCAUGCUAGAGCUUAGAGUAAAAGGGAAAUUUAGAGCAAGUCCUUCAACUUCUUCAGUUCCCUGUUAACAAAAUGUGUAAGAAACGGAUUAUUUGCAUAUAUUAUUAUUCAUUUGGCAAAAUCACCUACGGUGAAUAUAUUUACACAUAAAUGUUGUUUAGUGUAUAAUAGACAUACGUAGGUUACAUAUAUGUUUUCAAGUAGGAUGCAUUAUGCAAAAUUUUAUUGGGAAUGUACUUACAGAUUUAUUUCUCAAGACUUCGGCGGCCUCUUGACGAUUCCACAACCUACUCCAUUUUUCAGGGUGACCAAGAGAUUUUUCAGAAACGAUUACUCUGGCCAUUUCUCGCAGCAAAUCAUGCAUAUUCAACUUGUUGUCUUCAACAGUUAUAAGGCAUCGUUCACGGAGGACACUGAUUCCUAUUGAUGCAAAAAGUCCACAUCCAUCUAAUACUUUUGUGACAUAAUUCUUGUCCAUUCCAAUAAAGAAACAAGAUAUGUCAAGAAAUAUAGCCUUCUCUGAAGGAUCUAGCCCGUCAAAGCUUAUUCUGAGUCGAUUUACAAUGUUUCCAUCUGGAUAUCUUCCCAAUUUCUCCAAUUGACUUUCCCACUCUUCCAACGAUCUUUUAAUCAAAAGAGAUCCUAAAACUUCAAGCGCUAGUGGUAAACCUCCACAGUAAGAAACAAAUUUUUCUGAAACUUCAAGAUAUCCUUGAUUAGGACAACUAUUUUUAAAGGCAUGCCAACUAAAUAGCUCAAGAGCUUCUUCUUCAUUCAUUUUCUUAGCCUGAAAUGUUUUGUUCACAUUUAGUAGUAGACGUUCAUCUCGUGUCGUUAUGACAAUUCUACUUCCAGGACCAAACCAAUCAUGACUUCCAACUAUUGCAUCCAGUUGUUCCUUUUUAUCAAUGUUGUCCACGAUGACAAGUAUCUUUCUAUGUCGAAAUUGUUGUUUUAUCAGACCUAUACCUUCGGCAACACAGCUUAUUUCAUGCUUCUUUUUCAAGAUGUCAGAAAUAAGUUUUUUUUGCACAUCAACCAGAUCAUGUUUACUUGUAGCAUCGCGAACGUCGGCAAGGAAACUUUUCAAUUCAAACUGAGGAUGAAUUUGGUUAUAAAUGGCUUUGGCAGCUGUUGUUUUACCCAAUCCACCCAUCCCCCAAAUUCCAACCAUAAGAACAUCAUUUGAUCCACCACUUGAAAGAUAACUGAUAAUAUCUUGAACGUGUGAAUUGAUUCCAACUAUGUGCUUGGCCACAUGUAAUUCGUUAGUGUUGGUGAGCCAUUCACAAAUAUUCUCAUCAAUAAUUUUUUUAAUGAACUCUGCUUCGCCCCUAAAAAUUGAAUUCGUAAGCAUUAGUGGGAAUCAAUGAAGGCUCGGUAGGAGAUAUCAGUACAUAAACAAUUUUCUUUCCUUCUUCCCUUCAUAAUAUAUAUAUAUAUAUAUAUAUAUAUAUAUAUAUAUAUAUAUAUAUAUAUAUAUAUAUAUAUAUCAGUACAUAAACAAUUUUCUUUCCUUCUUCCCUUCAUAAUAUAUAUAUAUAUAUAUAUAUAAUGAACUUGAAUAAAAGAAUUCAUUGAUAAAUAAAAGUUAGGCGUAUGAAUUAAACUCCAAUUACGGUUUAGGUUACUUAUGAGAGAUUAAGGUGUAUUCAUUAAGCAUGUGAAUGAAUGUUUAGAUUAUGUAAAAUGUUAAUUAAGCAUGUCAAUUAAUUGAGAGAUUAAGUCGUUCGCUAAAAUUAGCAGCUUCUGUGAAGGAUAAACUUGAGAGAUUAAGGUGUAUUAAUUAAGCAUGUUAAUUAGAGUAAUACAACUCAAAUCUUGAAAAGCAGCUGAAUGAUUACCCAUUGUUAGCGAUUUUAUGAUGGUGGCCAGACAAAUUUGCAGCCUUUGUGAGAGCCUCUCUCCACUGCCUUACCCUUUCUUGUUUAGCUUCACGUUUCUUGUCAUCUUUUUCUUCACGGAUGUCCUUUUCGUGCUUCUGAAAUGCUUCGGCUAAAUCUCCGUCCUGCUUCCUGACAUGCGAAGGAUCAACGUGAUAGAAUAUUGGUAAAACAUGUCGCCCCAGUUCGUCUGUACACUCCAUGAUCUUCACCAGCUCGUCAAGACACCAACUCGAAUCCGCAUAUCUCCUUGAGAAGAUAAUGAUAGAGAUCAUCGACUCUUCGAUUACCUUUAACAGUUCUUUUAUUUCUUCCCCUCUUUGUAGAUCGUCCUCAUCAAUAAAGACCCGGUAACCUCUGGCUUUUAAUGCCUCGUGGAGGUGGCUCGUGAAGCCAUAGCGUGUGUCCUCGCCCCUGAAGCUCAAGAAUACGUCGUACUUCCAGAGUUUGGACUUGGAGGAGGACGAAGAGGAGGCUUCGUGGGCUGUCAUGGAGGUAUCCACCGUUAUGGGCAUAGCAGUGGUUCAGAUCACAGACUGAAAAGAUGGCAACAACUGCGUUUGCGUUGCCGAAGGAUGAUACUUAAACAUAAGUCAAGAUCUUGAGUCAACAAAGGCAAAAGUUUAUAAUAUAAUAAUGUUGGCGUGUGGACCUGAUAUAAUGAUGAAACACGACAUACUGCCGAGCGGGAAGGUGCAGGGAAAGAGAGGAAAAGAGGAAAGAAAGAAACAUGAUAGGACAGAUUAGGGAUUUUUUUUUUUUUCACCAAUCCGAAUUUCGCAUUGAAGCACCUCUCCAACUCCGCCAACAACAGCCUCACCACUCGUGACCUCCUUUUCAAGAGAUUAGUAGUGCAGCGGCAGCAUGGGGAGGAGGAAACUGAACAAGUAUACCUGUUGCUUAAGUUAUGCAAAGACGAUGAUAAUAUCAAUGACGAGGAUAGCAAUAGCUACUCUCUUGUUGGUGUCGAGGAAAUCGUUUUUCCUCACUCUUUGAUUCAGAAGGUCGGACUCCCGGAACAACUGCAUAUUAUAGGCCACUGCAAUGGCAUUGUUUUACUAUAUAGUAAGAGUAGCUUUGUUUUAUGCAAUCCCGGAAUUGAGGAAUUCAUUUCAUUCGUGUUCCCGAUGAGCCAUGCUUUCCAAUGUGGCCCAGAUUAGGUUUGGACCUGCGGGAGGAUUACAAUUGGCCAUAACAUAUUGAUACUGGUUUUCAUCCUGGAUUUGGCUAUGAUACCAAAUCUAACGAGUACAAUUUUGUGGCCUUUACUACUUAUACUCAAGAGUCAGAUGACAUUAUGACACUUACUGUUUCACACAAAGCGGUAGCAUACAUACACCAUCAGUUGUGAUUCUUGGAAAGAGGUCGACACCGUUUCUUUAGAAGCUGAAACUACUUUGUUUUGGCCUGACGGGGUUCCUGAUGUGCUUCAAGGGAAUGUGUUUUUGGCUGGGAAUUGAGCAAGAUAAGGAAAUAUCUGUUUAUGACACUUUUGAUGACCCAGAAGGCGGGAGAGUGAUCAUUUCUUUUGAUACAAGUGACGAGGUAUUUCGUGGUAUACCCGAACCAUCUGAGUUCCAACGAUUACCCCUGGGGUGUCACCUUGAUUUGAAGCUUAUUGUGUGGAAUGAAUCAGUUUCUUAUGGUUCACAAUGAUGG